This 2054-nucleotide ribosomal RNA is filed under the name Idunella picta. RNAcentral's name for it is "partial 18S ribosomal RNA". It matches the Rfam family "Eukaryotic small subunit ribosomal RNA". Lineage: Eukaryota; Metazoa; Arthropoda; Malacostraca; Amphipoda; Liljeborgiidae. The record is from RNAcentral.
AUUAAAUCAGCUGUGGUCUAAAUGGACCAGUGAUAUCUUACUUGGAUAACUGUGGUAAUUCCAGAGCUAAUACAUGCAACUUAAGCCCUGAAGCGUUCGGGGGUUCUGUCGGUGAGCAUGGAUUGUUGCGCUUGUCGCUUCGUCUUUGUUUUGCCUAGGUUCUCUCUGCUGACGGGUGCUUUUAUUAGACCAAACCGCUGGGGAGCUUCGGCUCAACUCACGUUGUGGUGACUCUGGAUAACUACUUUUGACUAGCGCACGUACCUCUCUUCUGAGUUGGACGGCGCUGCCACUAUCGAGUGUCUGCCUUAUCAGCUAUCAAUCGUUCGUUACGUGCGACCGAUGGCUUUGACGGGUAACGGGGAAUCAGGGUUCGAUUCCGGAGAGGCAGCCUGAGAGACGGCUACCACGUCCAAGGACGGCAGCAGGCACGCAAAUUACCCAAUCCCAGCACAUGGGGGAGGUAGUGACGAAAUCUAACGAUGCGGGCGCCCUUUCUGGGGCCCCGCAAUCGGAAUGGUCAUUUUCUAAACAACCUGUUGAGAAUCUACUGAAGGGCAAGUCUGGUGCCAGCAGCCGCGGUAAUUCCAGCUUCAGUAGCAUCUAUUAAAGUUGCUGCGGUUAAAAGGCUCGCAGUUGGAUGUCAGUACGGAGCGCAGGUCAGGUGGACGUUGGGGCGUGGGAACUCAAAGGGGUGUCUCGUGUGGUGCGUUCUUGUUCGGCUUCGGUCGUCGAGGCGUGCUCACAGCGCUUCUCUCACAAGCUCCCGUCCGUGACAAGCCUCCUCGCCUACCGUACAUUAUGGUUAUCUGUUGUGGAGGUGGACUGAGUGGGUGCUUGUGUUUGCCUCGCGCAGCGCUUGUUAUCUGCUCUUUCCAUUAAGCCUCCUAUGGUUUCUAAGUCACCUUGAGUAAAUCAGAGUGCUCAAAGCAGUCGUAAGGGACUUCGGUCCUGAGAACAGUCUAAACGGACUGACUUGAUUAUGCAUGGCAUGUCGGAAGACGACGUCGAUCGCUGGCUAAGAGUUUUACUGGUGGUAUAAGCCAGCGUCGACGUAAUGAUUAAAAGGAACAGUCGAGGGCAUUGGUAUUGCGAGGCGAGAGGUGAAAUUCUAUGACCCCCGCAAGACCUCCUGAAGCGAAAGCAUCUGCCAAGGAUGUCUCAUAAUCAUGAACGAACGAUGCCAGGGGGGAGUCUGGUUGCAAAGCUGAAACUUAAAGGAAUUGACGGAAAGGCACCACCAGGCGUGGAGCCUGCGGCUUAAUUUGACUCAACACGGGCCAUCUCACCAGGCCAGCACUCUAGCAUGAUUGACAGAUUGAGAGCUCUUUCUCGAUUAAGUGGAUGGUGGUGCAUGGCCGUUCUUAGUUGGUGGAGUGAUCUGUCUGGUUAAUUCCGAUAACGAACGAGACUCUCCCCUGCUAACUAGUCGGUUGGAUCUUAACAGUGAGAUUGUGCGCCGGGACUCUAGCGUGGGUUGGCGCUGUCGGCGUGUCUGUGCACUCGUUGUGCGGUCGCGUUCGGUGGCCCGCCUGCGUGGUCUCGGGCCGUACACUCCAAGUCCUCCGCUUAUGCUUAAAUUCUUCUUAGAGGGAUUCACGGUUCCGAAACCGUAAGAGACUGAGAGCAAUAACAGGUCUGUGAUGCCCUUAGAUGCUCUGGGCCGCACGCGCGCUACAAUGCCGGGCACAGCAGGUGUUACUCCUGCUCCGUCAGGAGCGGGCAACCCUCUGAAAGCCCUCCUGGUUGUAAUUCGAAUUCCUUCGUGCUUUUGUGGUACGUUGGAUGUUGUGGCGUGCUUGGGCCUGGGGCUUGCAAUUGUUUCCCACAAACGAGGAAUGCCUAGUAGCAGCGAGUCACUGAGCUCGCUGUGACUCAGUCCCUGCCCUUUGUACACACCGCCCGUCGCUACUACCGAUUGGGUGUACCAGUGAGAGCCUUGGACUGGCGACCGUUGCUCCUUUCGGAGCAAUGGGAACGACGGAAAGAGGUCCGAACUGGUGCACUUAGAGGGAAGUAAAAGUCGUAACAAGGUUUCCGUAGGUGAACCUGCG